GUCUGAGUACUAUAUAAUAGUUAAAACUUUCAACAACGGAUCUCUUGGUUCUGGCAUCGAUGAAGAACGCAGCGAAAUGCGAUAAGUAAUGUGAAUUGCAGAAUUCAGUGAAUCAUCGAAUCUUUGAACGCACAUUGCGCCCCUUGGUAUUCCGAGGGGCAUGCCUGUUCGAGCGUCAUUAUAACCACUCAAGCCCUCGGCUUGGUCUUGGGGUUCGCGGUUUCACGGCCCUUAAAAUCAGUGGCGGGGCCGUCUGGCUCUAACCGUAGUAAUCCUCUCGCUAUAGGGUCCAGGUAACCACCUGUCAGAACCCCCAUUCUUUAUGGUUGACCUCGGAUCAGGUAGGGAUACCCGCUGAACUUAAGCAUAUA
Molecule: ribosomal RNA, 371 nt
Filed under: Helotiales sp. PA6
Lineage: Eukaryota; Fungi; Ascomycota; Leotiomycetes; Helotiales
Description: eukaryotic LSU rRNA
Rfam family: 5.8S ribosomal RNA (bases 25-178)
Source: RNAcentral